This 523-nucleotide ribosomal RNA is filed under the name uncultured bacterium. RNAcentral describes it as "bacterial SSU rRNA". It matches the Rfam family "Bacterial small subunit ribosomal RNA", at positions 28 to 533 of the family's 1533-position model. The record is from RNAcentral.
GACGAACGCUGGCGGCGUGCCUAACACAUGCAAGUCGAACGGUCCGGCACUCAACCGACCCUCAGUCUAGCUGUAGGUGAAGUUGAGUGCCGGAUAGUGGCGGACGGGUGAGUAACGCGUGGGCAACCAACCCUGUACAGUGGGAUAACACCGGGAAACCGGUGCUAAUACCGCAUGACACCUAGAUGGUGCAUACUGUUUAGGUUAAAGGAUUUAACCGGUACAGGACGGGCCCGCGUCCCAUUAGCUGGUUGGUGAGGUAACGGCUCACCAAGGCGACGAUGGGUAGCCGACCUGAGAGGGUGACCGGCCACACUGGGACUGAGACACGGCCCAGACUCCUACGGGAGGCAGCAGUGGGGAAUAUUGCGCAAUGGACGGAAGUCUGACGCAGCGACGCCGCGUGAGCGACGAAGGCCUUCGGGUCGUAAAGCUCUGUUCUUGGGGACGAAUAAAAUGACGGUACCCAAGGAGAAAGCCCCGGCUAACUACGUGCCAGCAGCCGCGGUAAAUCACGUGUACG